CGCCUCUUGAUCCCCCAUAAGAGGUCCAGCCUGCCCAGUGACAUUGUUCAACGGCCGCGGUAUCCUAACCGUGCGAAGGUAGCGUAAUCACUUGUCCUUUAAAUGAGGACUAGUAUGAACGGCCCCACGAAAGCUAUACUGUCUCCUUUUCUUAAUCAGUUAAACUAAUCUUCCCGUGAAGAAGCGGGAAUUAACUUAUAAGACGAGAAGACCCUAUGGAGCUUUAAACAAUCGAAACAUUUGUAUUUAAAAUACUUUUCUUCCGAGACUAUACAUCCAACCCACCAUUUUGUUUCUUGUUUUAGGUUGGGGUGACCACGGAGAAAAAAUCAACCUCCUUGCUGAAAUUGAAGCUUCUUUAAGCAAAAAACCACAUUUUUAUGCAUCAACAAAUUGACUCCCAUUGACCCAAUUAAUUGACCAACGAACCAAGUUACCCUAGGGAUAACAGCGCAAUCCAUUUCAAGAGCUCUUAUCGACAAAUGGGUUUACGACCUCGAUGUUGGAUCAGGGCAUCCCAGUGGUGCAGCCCGCUACUAAUGGUUCGUUUGUUCAACGAUUAAAGCCCUA
RNAcentral lists this ribosomal RNA (570 nucleotides) under Rheobates palmatus (palm rocket frog). Its description in RNAcentral is "partial 16S ribosomal RNA". It matches the Rfam family "Bacterial large subunit ribosomal RNA", at positions 1817 to 2598 of the family's 2925-position model. Lineage: Eukaryota; Metazoa; Chordata; Amphibia; Anura; Aromobatidae. The record is from RNAcentral.